GAGUUUGAUCCUGGCUCGAGGAUGAACGCUAGCGGCAGGCCUAAUACAUGCAAGUACGAGGGGUCAGCGCGGGGUAGCAAUACCUGGCGGCGACCGGCGCACGGGUGCGUAACACGUAUACAAUCUAGCCUUUAACAGGGGGAUAGCCCGGAGAAAUCCGGAUUAAUACCCCAUAAUAUAUUGAGUGGCAUCACUUGAUAUUGAAAGCUCCGGCGGUUAGAGAUGAGUAUGCGCCUGAUUAGUUAGUUGGUGAGGUAACGGCUCACCAAGACUUCGAUCAGUAGGGGGAUCUGAGAGGACUACCCCCA
This 308-nucleotide ribosomal RNA is filed under the name uncultured Sphingobacterium sp. Its description in RNAcentral is "bacterial SSU rRNA". It matches the Rfam family "Bacterial small subunit ribosomal RNA", at positions 9 to 310 of the family's 1533-position model. Lineage: Bacteria; Pseudomonadati; Bacteroidota; Sphingobacteriia; Sphingobacteriales; Sphingobacteriaceae. The record is from RNAcentral.